AGGAGUUUGAUCCUGGCUCAGAUUGAACGCUGGCGGCAUGCCUUACACAUGCAAGUCGAACGGCAGCACGGGAGCAAUCCUGGUGGCGAGUGGCGAACGGGUGAGUAAUAUAUCGGAACGUGCCCAGUAAUGGGGGAUAGCCCGGCGAAAGCCGGAUUAAUACCGCAUACGACCUACGGGUGAAAGCGGGGGAUCGCAAGACCUCGCGUUAUUGGAGCGGCCGAUAUCAGAUUAGCUAGUUGGCGGGGUAAGAGCCCACCAAGGCGACGAUCUGUAGCUGGUCUGAGAGGACGACCAGCCACACUGGGACUGAGACACGGCCCAGACUCCUACGGGAGGCAGCAGUGGGGAAUUUUGGACAAUGGGCGCAAGCCUGAUCCAGCCAUGCCGCGUGUGGGAAGAAGGCCUUCGGGUUGUAAACCACUUUUGUCAGGGAAGAAACGGCUCUUACUAAUAUUAGGGGCUAAUGACGGUACCUGAAGAAUAAGCACCGGCUAACUACGUGCCAGCAGCCGCGGUAAUACGUAGGGUGCAAGCGUUAAUCGGAAUUACUGGGCGUAAAGCGUGCGCAGGCGGCUUUGCAAGACAGAUGUGAAAUCCCCGGGCUCAACCUGGGAACUGCAUUUGUGACUGCAUGGCUAGAGUACGGUAGAGGGGGAUGGAAUUCCGCGUGUAGCAGUGAAAUGCGUAGAUAUGCGGAGGAACACCGAUGGCCGAAGGCAAUCCCCUGGACCUGUACUGACGCUCAUGCACGAAAGCGUGGGAGCAAAACAG
This 774-nucleotide ribosomal RNA is filed under the name uncultured beta proteobacterium. Its description in RNAcentral is "bacterial SSU rRNA". It matches the Rfam family "Bacterial small subunit ribosomal RNA", at positions 1 to 775 of the family's 1533-position model. The record is from RNAcentral. Lineage: Bacteria; Pseudomonadati; Pseudomonadota; Betaproteobacteria.